GACCUACGGGGGGCAGCAGUGGGGAAUAUUGGACAAUGGGCGGAAGCCUGAUCCAGCAACGCCGCGUGAGGGAUGACGGCCUUCGGGUUGUAAACCUCUUUCGCCUGUGACGAAGCGCAAGUGACGGUAACAGGUAAAGAAGCACCGGCCAACUACGUGCCAGCAGCCGCGGUAAUACGUAGGGUGCGAGCGUUGUCCGGAAUUAUUGGGCGUAAAGGGCUCGUAGGCGGUUUGUCGCGUCGGGAGUGAAAACGCCGUGCUUAACACGGCGCUUGCUUUCGAUACGGGCAGACUAGAGGUAUUCAGGGGAGAACGGAAUUCCUGGUGUAGCGGUGAAAUGCGCAGAUAUCAGGAGGAACACCGGUGGCGAAGGCGGUUCUCUGGGAAUGACCUGACGCUGAGGAGCGAAAGUGUGGGGAGCGAACAGGAUUAGAUACCCCGGUAGUC
RNAcentral lists this ribosomal RNA (447 nucleotides) under uncultured Nocardioidaceae bacterium. Its description in RNAcentral is "bacterial SSU rRNA". It matches the Rfam family "Bacterial small subunit ribosomal RNA", at positions 334 to 795 of the family's 1533-position model. The record is from RNAcentral. Lineage: Bacteria; Bacillati; Actinomycetota; Actinomycetes; Propionibacteriales; Nocardioidaceae.